UAGAAAUUGAAUAAUCAAACAUCUUUUUCAGUACCUUCCCUGUUUUAAUCAUCAGGCCAAAAUUACAGUAUUUUUGCACUGUAAGGUUAAAGUAUAACGUUAAUCUGAUGAGUAGUUCCUGGCUGAGCUGCCUGUGACACCUUGGAGCAGUGGUUCUUAACCUGUUAUGUUAGAGUAUCAUGAUCAGGAAUAUCAGCCCUGAGCUAACAUCUGCUGCCAAUCCUCCUCUUUUCACUGAAGAAGACUGGCCCUGAGCUAACAUCCAUGCCCAUCUUCCUCUACUUUAUACGUGGGAUGGCUACCACAGCAUGGUUUGCCAAGCGGUGCCAUGUCCGCACCUGGGAUCCGAACCCGCGAACCCUGGGCCACCUAAGCUGAAUGUGCGCACUUAACCGCUGCGCCACUGCACCGGCCUCUGGCAGGUUUAAUUAGUAGUUUUUCACAGCAACUUUGAGCUCUGCUGGUUUGGAGAUCUAGUUCCCAAAGGAGGAAUGCUUCUACCAAAGGCACAAAAAUAAGUCCAUUGAUUUACCAGAUCGCUUGCUCUGAGGGGAAGCCAGCCUCCAUGUUGUGAAGCUAUUUAAGUAGCCCUGUGGAGAAGAAAGGACACCCCCUGCCAAGAACCAGCAUCAUUUUACCUGCAAUGUGAGUGAGCCAUCUUGGAAUGCAUCCUCUAGCUCUCCCCAAGUCUGUGAUGACUGCAGCCCAGCCAACAUCUUGGUCGUGAUUUCAUGGGAGGCAGAACUGCUCAGUUAAGCCACUCCUGAAUUCCCAACCCACAGAAACCGUGUAAGAUAAAUGUUUGUUCUUGUUGUAAACCACUAAGUUUUAGAGUAAUUUGUUAUGCAGCA
This 851-nucleotide long non-coding RNA is filed under the name Equus asinus (donkey). Its description in RNAcentral is "lncRNA (ENSEASG00005036883.1)". The record is from RNAcentral. Lineage: Eukaryota; Metazoa; Chordata; Mammalia; Perissodactyla; Equidae.